RNAcentral lists this ribosomal RNA (33 nucleotides) under Pewenomyces lalenivora. RNAcentral describes it as "partial 28S ribosomal RNA". Lineage: Eukaryota; Fungi; Ascomycota; Eurotiomycetes; Coryneliales; Coryneliaceae. The record is from RNAcentral.
GUUGGACCUCGGAUCAGGUAGGGAUACCCGCUG